AUAUUCGGGGAGGGUGUCAAGUACACCGUGGCAAAAUUUCAUUAUGAUAUGCGUGUUCCUUACAAAGUUAUUCUAGAAAAACGUGCCCUCAAACUCUGAAACGCUUAGUAGUACCUAUAGAAGUACCUACCCUAGUAACUUCAGUACCAGAAGAUGGAAUAUUCUACUCUGCGGAGACAUGGAAGGUAAGAAAUAUAUUUGAUCUCGGUUGAAACAUUUAAUAGUAUGAAAUUUUGAGUUACUAUGAUGAGAAGAAUAAUAAAACCAUAAGAGUAUACAGUUACUUGCGCAUCUAGAUGCUCAACUGUUGAACCGCCAACUUUUUGGUUUACAAAUACGAAUUACAAGUAACAAGCUGUCCCGCCGGACCAACAAUGACAGGACGAGAAUCAGACUGAUAAUACUCUUUUAUCCUGCACUGUGUGAGACACAAGCCUGAUAAUACCUGCUCACAGCCUCACUGCACUUUUGGGACACUAUAAGUUGUGUUAAAGCUGCCAACGCUCACCUACACAGCCUCAACAAAGACACCACGAAGAGCCCGGCCCCAACCUACUCCUAGUGCCCUGCUCUCCUGCUUCACAUGAGAAUUGGUUUACUACAACAAGAUGUCCAUUGGUGGUGGUGGUGUCGCUGAGUUUAUCGCCUAGCUAUGCUGUACACUUCUUAUAACAACUUCAAUAUGAUGUAUGUACCCAUGGAUUCGGCAUCAACAAAGAAUUCAGUCAAAGAUGCUGUCAGCCACUAUAGAAGGGAGGAAGCUAGAAUUGUGAUAUUCAACUGGAUGAACUUCUCUUCCAUUCUUGGUGAUGUACUUAAAUAAUGCUCUUUUUUUCAAUGAUGUGUCAGUGAUGACUAUAAUGGUUAUGCUGUAAAUGCAUAGGUUCAUUAUAUUUUUUUCUCUCUGAAAUGCUUUUUUUAAUGGUGUAAUGAUUAUAAUAAUGACAACAAUGCUGUCAAGUUUUCUCCAUUUACAUAAGUGUAGUGAUGAUUACAAUGAUGACGAUGUAAUUUUUCUUCAUGAUUGGUGAUGUAUUUAUAUGGUGACGAUGGUGUUGAUGAUAUAAAGUUCUCUCCACACUGGAUGAUGUAUAGUUAAAUGCAGAGUUCAUUAUGAUUUAUUUUUUCUUGAAUUCUCUUUCUGCUGCAAAUUUUCUCACAUUUAUAGAUUUUCCAUGGGCAAUAGGACAGCAUUCAGGUUCCCAUGUUCCUUUUAACUGAUAUCCUGCUUUCUCUAAAAGGAUGACUUCAGUUUUUCUUUUUUUCUUUUUUUUUUUCUUUUUUCUUUUUUAUUCAGCUUGGUUAUCAGAUAGGUAUUCUUUAGAUUUCAGUUUUUUCAUUCCUUCUGUGCUUCUCUUAUAAACACAUACAGUUUAAGUUUACUUAUUUUUUCAAGAAUGUUUUAGAUACUGGAAAGAAUUUUUUUUUUUUUUUUUUUUUUUCAUAUACUUUGGCUUAGGUUAAGUGAUUCCUCACAGAGGUAAUGAAAUAUUUUUGUACUUCUGUAAAUUCUCAGAUAAAUGUGUGAUAUACUUAAGAUCUGUUAAUAUAGAAAAGAAUCUCACAUGAGUGCUCUUUUCUGCAUAAAGCAAUUCCCAAAUUAGUAUAUGUGAAGGACCUAUAUAUGUGUUGUACUGUUAUCAUUAAGUGUACAUAUUAUGGAUGUUAACUAGAAUUUUGUAAAGAAAUUGAUACUGUUAAGUUGUUCACAAGGUGCUUUAAACUGCAAAUACUGUUAGUCAGCACUGUUCCAGUGAUAAACAAUAAAA
This 1769-nucleotide long non-coding RNA is filed under the name Portunus trituberculatus (swimming crab). RNAcentral's name for it is "uncharacterized LOC123504981". The record is from RNAcentral. Lineage: Eukaryota; Metazoa; Arthropoda; Malacostraca; Decapoda; Portunidae.